RNAcentral lists this ribosomal RNA (228 nucleotides) under uncultured Streptococcaceae bacterium. RNAcentral describes it as "partial 16S ribosomal RNA". It matches the Rfam family "Bacterial small subunit ribosomal RNA", at positions 111 to 334 of the family's 1533-position model. The record is from RNAcentral. Lineage: Bacteria; Bacillati; Bacillota; Bacilli; Lactobacillales; Streptococcaceae.
UAACGCGUAGGUAACCUGCCUUGUAGCGGGGGAUAACUAUUGGAAACGAUAGCUAAUACCGCAUAACAAUGGAUGACACAUGUCAUUUAUUUGAAAGGGGCAAUUGCUCCACUACAAGAUGGACCUGCGUUGUAUUAGCUAGUAGGUGAGGUAACGGCUCACCUAGGCGACGAUACAUAGCCGACCUGAGAGGGUGAUCGGCCACACUGGGACUGAGACACGGCCCAG